GCAGUGGAGGCUUAGUGGUACAAUUUUCGUCUUCCAUGUGGGACACCCAGGUUCGAUUCCUGGCCAAUGCA
RNAcentral lists this transfer RNA (71 nucleotides) under Loxodonta africana (African savanna elephant). It matches the Rfam family "tRNA". Rfam says of the family: Transfer RNA (tRNA) molecules are approximately 80 nucleotides in length. Their secondary structure includes four short double-helical elements and three loops (D, anti-codon, and T loops). Lineage: Eukaryota; Metazoa; Chordata; Mammalia; Proboscidea; Elephantidae. The record is from Rfam by way of RNAcentral.